CCCUUAGAUGUCCGGGGCUGCACGCGCGCUACACUGAAGGAAUCAGCGUGCUAGAAAACCUUGUUUGACAUGGCUAGGUAACCCGUUGAAAAUCUUUCGUGAUUGGGAUCGGGACUUGCAAAUGUGUCCCUUGAACGAGGAAUUCCCAGUAAGUGCGGGUCAUAAGCUCGCGCUGAUUACGUCCCUGCCCUUUGUACACACCGCCCGUCGCUGCCCGGAACUGAGCCGUUUCGAGAAGACUGGGGACUGCGAACUUUGGGCUGGAAAACAGCUUUUUGUUUGUGGAAACCACCUUAAUCGCAGCGGCUUGAACCGGGCAAAAGUCGUAACA
RNAcentral lists this ribosomal RNA (331 nucleotides) under uncultured eukaryote. RNAcentral describes it as "partial 18S ribosomal RNA". It matches the Rfam family "Eukaryotic small subunit ribosomal RNA", at positions 1470 to 1796 of the family's 1831-position model. The record is from RNAcentral.